Limulus polyphemus (Atlantic horseshoe crab) is the source of this 1381-nucleotide long non-coding RNA. RefSeq lists it as uncharacterized. The transcript is spliced from 2 exons. Lineage: Eukaryota; Metazoa; Arthropoda; Merostomata; Xiphosura; Limulidae. The record is from RefSeq and is a predicted model, not a curated record.
UUCUACCUUUUGUAUCAGGUACACGAUAAUCUGGGUCUUUUCACUGGACAUAACGACGACUUUCUACUUUUUCUAUCAGGUACAUCAACGAUAUUCUGGGUCUUUUCACUGGACAUAAAGACGACUUUCUACCUUUUGUAUCAGGUACACGAUAAUCUGGGUCUUUUCACUGGAGAUAAAGACGAUUUUCUACCUUUUGUAUCAGGUACACGAUAAUCUGGGUCUUUUGACUGGACAUAAAGACGACUUUCUACCUUUUUUAUUAGGUACACGAUAUUCUGGGUCUUUUCACUGGACAUAACGACGACUUUCUACCUUUUGUAUCAGUUACAUCAACGAUAUUCUGGGUCUUUUCACUGGACAUAACGACGACUUUCUACCUUUUGUAUCAGGUACACGAUAUUCUGGGUCUUUUCACUGGACAUAAAGACGAGUUUUCAUUCAUUAUACCUAAACUUAUCACCCAUCUAAUAAAUUUACUUCCCAACUUUGUAGUAAUAAAGCUAAUUUUUUAGACAUCACUAUUGACUUAUCUACAUUUACUAGCAGCCUAUAUUACAAACCCAGUGACAGCCAUUCCUAUUCACACUUUAUUUAUUUACAUCCCUCUGAGCACAAACACGCUAUUCCUACGUUUGAGACGUCUGUGCUCCGACGACGCCGACUUCAGACGUAAAGCGACAUGACUCGUUGUUUUAGACACCAGAAUUAUCCCGAUAACAGCACCGAAGAGGCUAAACUUGCCACAGUCAGUGUAUCACAAGCUGAUUGUCUCCACUCUAAGGACAAACCACAUAGUGACAGAAUUCCUUUAGCCUUUACACACCAUUCUUUAACCAGACAGAUUACCAGAAUCGUCCAAAGCAACUUUACCUAACGAACAAGAGACAACACAUCUAACGACAUUUUGACCACCACCAUCCUUAAUUUCUUUCAAACGUGAGAGGAGUUUGAAAGACAGUCUAGUACAUUCCAAAUUACAGACUGAAGUGUUUUACUUGUACAAACUGACGGAACUCGUCCUUGUGGACGAACUAUUUGUCUCAAUGGGAUUAUAUCACCGACCUUUGCAUUUCACCUAAAAGACCAUUUCACCUGUACAUCAGAGGGCAUUAUUUAUUGUACGGGAUGUAAACAACUUUAUAUUGGGGGAAAAUAUAUGCAGACAAGAUGACAGAUUUCGUGAACAUCUCCGACUUGUACACAACGGAAUUGACGACACGAGUGUACCCGUUUUAUUACAUUAUCUGUCAACAAACAAACAGAGUCAUCAGUACUGACUAUGGUAUACGUAUGUAAGAGGGGUAAUUAAAAUAGUGAUAUAAUUCACGUAUACUGUAUUGAACAUUUUAUUAAUGUUUCCGUAAUAUCCGAUUUAAAU